CCAAUAGCGUAUAUUAAAGUUGCUGCAGUUAAAAAGCUCGUAGUUGAAUUUCGGGAUCAAUAUGUUGGUCGUGCCUUGGUACGUACUAGCUUAUUGAUUUCUCCCUUCUGAUGAACCAUGAUGUCAUUAAUUUGGUGUCAUGGGGAAUUAGGACUGUUACUUUGAAAAAAUUAGAGUGUUUAAAGCAGGCUCACGCUUGAAUACAUUAGCAUGGAAUAAU
RNAcentral lists this ribosomal RNA (220 nucleotides) under uncultured Glomus. RNAcentral describes it as "partial small subunit ribosomal RNA". It matches the Rfam family "Eukaryotic small subunit ribosomal RNA", at positions 591 to 818 of the family's 1831-position model. The record is from RNAcentral. Lineage: Eukaryota; Fungi; Glomeromycota; Glomeromycetes; Glomerales; Glomeraceae.